GUCAGGAUGGUCGAGUGGUCUAAGGCACUAGACUUAAGUUUUGGUCCUCAUAAGAGGGUGUGAGUUCAAAUCCCACUUUUGACU
RNAcentral lists this transfer RNA (84 nucleotides) under Ipomoea nil (Japanese morning glory). It matches the Rfam family "tRNA". From Rfam's summary of the family: Transfer RNA (tRNA) molecules are approximately 80 nucleotides in length. Their secondary structure includes four short double-helical elements and three loops (D, anti-codon, and T loops). The record is from Rfam by way of RNAcentral. Lineage: Eukaryota; Viridiplantae; Streptophyta; Magnoliopsida; Solanales; Convolvulaceae.